This is a long non-coding RNA of Oryza brachyantha (malo sina), 347 nucleotides long. RefSeq lists it as uncharacterized. Lineage: Eukaryota; Viridiplantae; Streptophyta; Magnoliopsida; Poales; Poaceae. The record is from RefSeq and is a predicted model, not a curated record. The transcript has 3 exons.
CUGCCCGACAGCCGCCACCCAUGGCUUCGGCCUCUCCCCACGUAAGCUCCGAUGGUGACGAACCAAAAUGCUGAUAAUGAAUAACCUGCAAGCUUUUGGAGUUGCCUCCAAGAGAUCCAAGAUAAGAUGGAGUUAUUGCAUUGGACUUGAAUUGGUUUGAACUUUGAAUCAUGAAGAGUUGAAAGACAGUGGUCACAAUGCCUUCUAAGCUACCUCAUUUAGCACGUAGUACUUUAAUAUUUGGGCCAUUAAGUUGUUGUCUUAUUGAUGUUGUAAACUUUUGGCUGGUUGAGAUACUUUUGGAUAUUUUGCUCAAAGAUUGAUGUACUUGACAAAGUGACAAGUGA